AUGUUGGAGGGUCAAUCUUGCCUGAUCUCGAGGUCACUGCCCAGCUCCUGCGAACAGGAAUCCAGAUUAGCUUAUAUGACUUACCACCUCCUUGAGAUCACAAGGACUAAGCGCCCAUCUGGGGUCCUGGCUAUUGAACAUGAUGGAAUUGCUGUGGCGGCAGUGCUGGCAAAGCGGCCUAAGUCUGAGGAUAGCCAUGAUGCUGUGCCGGUAGACUGUCAGGGUGGUAAUCAGGGCUAUUCUGAUUCAAGCACACUGAUAAGUUCUAUUGGCAGAGAUAAUUCAAUCAAUUGUCUAGCCCGUUGCUCUCGGUCUGAUUAUGGCUCCAUUGCAUCACUGAGCCGGAACUUCCGUUCCCUUGUCCGUGAUGGUGGUCUGUACAGAGAACGGCGGAGGUUAGGGAUUGCAGAACACUGGGUGUAUUUCUCCUGCAAUGUGCAGGAGUGGGAGGCAUAUGACCCAUACCGUGAACGGUGGAUGACGCUCCCAAGGAUGCCACCUAAUGAGUGUUUCAUGUGCUCAGACAAGGAGUCACUAGCUGUGGGCACUGAACUUCUGGUGUUUGGCAAGGAGAUUCUAUCACAUAUUGUUCUUAGCUAUAGCAUUCUGACCAACUCAUGGUCAAGAGGCGUUGAAAUGAAUGCCCCUAGAUGUUUGUUUGGUUCGGCUAGUUUUGGAGAGAAGGCAAUUAUAGCUGGUGGCAUGGAUUCUUUUGGGAGUGUGCUUAGUUCUGCUGAGCUGUACAACUCUGAAACUAAAAGUUGGGUUACACUUCCGAGCAUGAACAAGCGUAGGAGAAUGUGUUCUGGAGUCUUCAUGGAUGGCAAGUUUUAUGUUAUUGGUGGAAUGGCCAGUAACACGGAGGUGCUGACAUGCGGAGAAGAGUAUGAUUUAGAGAAGGGUACCUGGAGGUUGAUAGAGAACAUGUCAGAGGGUCUCAAUGGUGCCAGUGGUGCUCCUCCCCUUGUUGCUGUAGUUGACAAUGAGCUAUAUGCGGCUCAAUAUGCAGGAAAACUAGUAAGGAAGUAUAAUAAAAGUGAUAACACAUGGACAACUCUUGGGGAGUUACCAGAGCGCCCAGAAGCUGUGAAUGGCUGGGGCAUUGCAUUCCGAGGAUGCGGAGAGCGGCUCCUGGUGAUUGGUGGACCAAGAGUGCUGGGCGGCGGGAUGAUUGAACUCCAUUCGUGGAUCCCAAGGGAGGGCCCCUUGCAAUGGAACAUGAUCGGAAGCAAACCUUCUGGCAACUUUGUUUAUAACUGUGCUGUCAUGGGGUGCUGA
Molecule: ribosomal RNA, 1278 nt
Filed under: Triticum aestivum (bread wheat)
Lineage: Eukaryota; Viridiplantae; Streptophyta; Magnoliopsida; Poales; Poaceae
Description: partial small subunit ribosomal RNA
Source: RNAcentral